UGGGACUCCGGGCUGGCGGAGGGGGAAUGUAGGGCAGAUGGUCCCAACAGGCCAGAGGCCACUGGUGUCAGGCAUCAGCAGCUUCCUCCUCAGAGUCCAGGUCUGCCGCUGCCUUCGUGCCCACGGUCUUCACUCCCUGCGCCGGGACCAACAAUGCCCUGGCUCCUGAGGGCUGCUUUUGACCUGUGCGGGGAGCAGCCCCAACUUGGGGUGGGGUCUUACAGGCUUCUGGACCUGCCUUUUCCUGACAAUUCAGCGGCAAGCCUGCACGAGCUGUGUGCUGCCAGAGUGUCAGAGGUCCUUCAAAACAGAGUGCACAGGACGGAGGAAGUGAAGCAUGUGGACUUCUAUGCUUUCUCCUACUAUUACGACCUUGCAGCUGGUGUGGGCCUCAUAGAUGCGGAGAAGGGAGGCAGCCUGGUGGUGGGGGACUUCGAGAUCGCAGCCAAGUACGGUGGGAGUCACCUGGAGCGUGAAGGGACGUGUCUCAUCCCCAGUGUGUCGGACCCUGGAGACACAGCCGCAGAGCAGCCCCUUCUCAUGCAUGGACCUCACCUACGUCAGCCUGCUACUCCAGGAGUUCGGCUUUCCCAGGAGCAAAGUGCUGAAGCUCACUCGGAAAAUUGACAAUGUUGAGACCAGCUGGGCUCUGGGGGCCAUUUUUCAUUACAUCGACUCCCUGAACAGACAGAAGAGUCCAGCCUCAUAGUGGCCGAGCCAUCCCUGUCCCCGUCAGCAGUGUCUGUGUGUCUGCAUAAACCCUCCUGUCCUGGACGUGACUUCAUCCUGAGGAGCCACAGCACAGGCCGUGCUGGCACUUUCUGCACACUGGCUCUGGGACUUGCAGAAGGCCUGGUGCUGCCCUGGCAUCAGCCUCUUCCAGUCACAUCUGGCCAGAGGGCUGUCUGGACCUGGGCCCUGCUCAAUGCCACCUGUCUGCCUGGGCUCCAAGUGGGCAGGACCAGGACAGAACCACAGGCACACACUGAGGGGGCAGUGUGGCUCCCUGCCUGUCCCAUCCCCAUGCCCCGUCCGCGGGGCUGUGGCUGCUGCUGUGCAUGUCCCUGCGAUGGGAGUCUUGUCUCCCAGCCUGUCAGUUUCCUCCCCAGGGCAGAGCUCCCCUUCCUGCAAGAGUCUGGGAGGCGGUGCAGGCUGUCCUGGCUGCUCUGGGGAAGCCGAGGGACAGCCAUAACACCCCCGGGACAGUAGGUCUGGGCGGCACCACUGGGAACUCUGGACUUGAGUGUGUUUGCCUCUUCCUUGGGUAUGAAUGUGUGAGUUCACCCAGAGGCCUGCUCUCCUCACACAUUGUGUGGUUUGGGGUUAAUGAUGGAGGGAGACACCUCCUCAUAGACGGCAGGUGCCCACCUUUCAGGGAGUCUCCCAGCAUGGGCGGAUGCCGGGCAUGAGCUGCUGUAAACUAUUUGUGGCUGUGCUGCUUGAGUGACGUCUCUGUCGUGUGGGUGCCAAGUGCUUGUGUAGAAACUGUGUUCUGAGCCCCCUUUUCUGGACACCAACUGUGUCCUGUGAAUGUAUCGCUACUGUGAGCUGUUCCCGCCUAGCCAGGGCCAUGUCUUAGGUGCAGCUGUGCCACGGGUCAGCUGAGCCACAGUCCCAGAACCAAGCUCUCGGUGUCUCGGGCCACCAUCCGCCCACCUCGGGCUGACCCCACCUCCUCCAUGGACAGUGUGAGCCCCGGGCCGUGCAUCCUGCUCAGUGUGGCGUCAGUGUCGGGGCUGAGCCCCUUGAGCUGCUUCAGUGAAUGUACAGUGCCCGGCACGAGCUGAACCUCAUGUGUUCCACUCCCAAUAAAAGGUUGACAG
Molecule: long non-coding RNA, 1823 nt
Filed under: Homo sapiens (human)
Lineage: Eukaryota; Metazoa; Chordata; Mammalia; Primates; Hominidae
Description: long non-coding RNA NONHSAT188617.1
Source: RNAcentral